CACCAAACCCUGGGGGGUUAGUGGCGCCGGGUGCGUAACGCGUGGGAACCUGCCUUUAGGUUCGGAAUAACUCAGAGAAAUUUGAGCUAAUACCGGAUAAUGUCUUCGGACCAAAGAUUUAUCGCCUUUAGAUGGGCCCGCGUUAGAUUAAAUAGUUGGUGGGGUAAUGGCCUACCAAGUCGACGAUCUAUAGCUGGUCUGAGAGGAUGAUCAGCCACACUGGGACUGAGACACGGCCCAGACUCCUACGGGAGGCAGCAGUGGGGAAUAUUGGACAAUGGGCGAAAGCCUGAUCCAGCAAUGCCGCGUGAGUGAUGAAGGCCUUAGGGUUGUAAAGCUCUUUUACUAGGGAUGAUAAUGACAGUACCUAGAGAAUAAGCUCCGGCUAACUCCGUGCCAGCAGCCGCGGUAAUACGGAGGGAGCUAGCGUUGUUCGGAAUUACUGGGCGUAAAGCGCGCGUAGGCGGCUUAUCAAGUCAGGGGUGAAAUCCCGGAGCUCAACUCCGGAACUGCCCUUGAAACUGGUUGGCUAGAAUAUUGGAGAGGUAAGUGGAAUUCCGAGUGUAGAGGUGAAAUUCGUAGAUAUUCGGAAGAACACCAGUGGCGAAGGCGACGUACUGGACAAUUAUUGACGCUGAGGUGCGAGAGC
This 649-nucleotide ribosomal RNA is filed under the name uncultured bacterium. RNAcentral describes it as "bacterial SSU rRNA". It matches the Rfam family "Bacterial small subunit ribosomal RNA", at positions 70 to 760 of the family's 1533-position model. The record is from RNAcentral.